Long non-coding RNA from Scylla paramamosain (green mud crab), 616 nucleotides. RefSeq lists it as uncharacterized. Lineage: Eukaryota; Metazoa; Arthropoda; Malacostraca; Decapoda; Portunidae. The record is from RefSeq and is a predicted model, not a curated record. The transcript has 3 exons.
GAGAGAGAGAGAGCGUAUGGUGGAGGAGGCGGGAUGGUGGAGAUGCGCGGAUAGGGAAUGCGCGGAGCGAGUGGGGUUAGUAGCUGUGCGAGGCGUCACGUCACUCUCCAGCCACGAAGGAAACAGUGAGGUGACCAUCGCGGAAGGUUUUGUUGGGUAGUGAAAGUGUUUUCGACAAGGGCAGUGAAAGAAUACGAGUUUUACAACCUGGUGUGUGUGAGGCAGAGAACGGCCGCUCCUUUCUAUAGCCUGUCUGAGCUGCCGGGGCUAACCAGGGCGCUGCGCGGGGCAAUGGGGCAAGGAACACACAGACACAUCCAGCUGGAAAGGCGCGUGUCACUGGAGUCUUGGUGUUUCGGAGCUGUACCUUGUUCCACGCAGCGCCCCUGUCAUGGUCUCGUCUGCCACCACCACCACCACCACCACCACCAAGGGUUCCAUCAGCGAUUCAUCAGCGGUUUCCACCACGACCAUAAAACAGCGUGGAUUCUGUGCAGGGGUGAGCAGUCAUCGAAUUUCAAUGAUUUAAAGGCGCAAGGAUUUUACUCCGCUUAAUCCUUGUGUAAGCGAGGACUCAAUACAAAUGCAAAAUGAUAAUAAAAAUAAUGAUAAUUCA